GACGAACGCUGGCGGCGUGCCUAACACAUGCAAGUCGAGCGAGGAGAGUUCCUUUGGGAACAAACCUAGCGGCGGACGAGUGAGUAACACGUGGGCAACCUGCCUUGUAGAGGGAAUAGCCUUCCGAAAGGAAGAUUAAUACCGCAUAACAUUACAGUUUCGCAUGAAACAGUAAUUAAAGGAGCAAUCCGCUACAAGAUGGCCCGCGGCGCAUUAGCUAGUUGGUGAGGUAACGGCUCACCAAGGCGACGAUGCGUAGCCGACCUGAGAGGGUGAUCGGCCACAUUGGGACUGAGACACGGCCCAGACUCCUACGGGAGGCAGCAGUGGGGAAUAUUGCACAAUGGGGGAAACCCUGAUGCAGCAACGCCGCGUGAGUGAUGAAGGUUUUCGGAUCGUAAAGCUCUGUCUUCGGGGACGAUAAUGACGGUACCCGAGGAGGAAGCCACGGCUAACUACGUG
This 462-nucleotide ribosomal RNA is filed under the name uncultured bacterium. RNAcentral describes it as "bacterial SSU rRNA". It matches the Rfam family "Bacterial small subunit ribosomal RNA", at positions 28 to 507 of the family's 1533-position model. The record is from RNAcentral.